Long non-coding RNA from Salarias fasciatus (jewelled blenny), 525 nucleotides. RefSeq lists it as uncharacterized. Lineage: Eukaryota; Metazoa; Chordata; Actinopteri; Blenniiformes; Blenniidae. The transcript is spliced from 2 exons. The record is from RefSeq and is a predicted model, not a curated record.
CCUGCCUGGCCCAGAGUCCCCCGCUGCUGCUUUUGCUUCCACCUCUGUGCUGACUGACCCCGCUGCUGCAGCUGCAGGCCCACCAAAGAAGAGGCAAAGAAGGAGGCCCCAGUUCUCUCCAGGGCCGUCCGAGUAUGAAUGCCGGAUCAUGGAGGAACUGAGGGCCAGCAGGGAGGCGCGAUUGUCUAGUCCAAUGACACCUGAUGACCACUUCCUGCUUUCUUUGGGGCCUCUCCUGCAAAAAGUGCCACCUCAUCUCAAAGACUUUGUAAAAUUUCAAAUUCACAAAUUACUUUAUGAGAACAGCACUGUAACGCUGAAUUUGGAACCAUUGGAGCCGUCAGAGUGAUUUUUCACUAAACGAGGUGACAUCUUUUGCAGGAGAGGAAAGACUUCUUUACGUGUCUCUCAUUUUUUCCACCGCACCUCCUCCAAGCAAGCUCCUUUUCAUUCCUGUCCCAUGUUUAAAUAUGUAAAUAGUUUUCUGUGUAAUAAUAAUUCAAAUUAAAUAUUCUUUUGUAUCAA